Molecule: ribosomal RNA, 207 nt
Filed under: Triticum aestivum (bread wheat)
Lineage: Eukaryota; Viridiplantae; Streptophyta; Magnoliopsida; Poales; Poaceae
Description: partial small subunit ribosomal RNA
Source: RNAcentral
AUAUGGAAAGCUCGCAUCCCCCCUAAGAUUAAAGUGUUUCUCUGGCAAGCCUCUCGCGGGCAUCUUCCUACGGGUGACCAAAUCCGUAAACGUAAUGGUCCGGGUUCUGACUGCUGUGUUCUAUGUGGGACGAGAGAAGAUACACCUCAUAUUUUUUUUAACUGCGUCCUGGCUAAGCUGUUUUGGUGUUGUAUCAGAUCAUGGUUG